Molecule: long non-coding RNA, 1261 nt
Organism: Manis javanica (Malayan pangolin)
Lineage: Eukaryota; Metazoa; Chordata; Mammalia; Pholidota; Manidae
Source: RefSeq, a predicted model, not a curated record
CUCUUUAUAUUACGGCAACGAUAACGUUGCUAUCGGUUAUUGAGGGCUUAUCCUGUGCUUUUUAUUCCGCUUCGGUGUUCCAGCACCUUUCGAGGAGAGGCGCCCGUCAGGACAGGCUAACAGUUGCCGUAAGCAGUCCCAGAAUUGCAGUGAGACAGGCGAUCUCAGGCGGAGUCAGCCUGGGCCGCUGGCCCUCAAGCAGUGGGUGCGGCGCUCCGCCAUCCCAGAGCCUUUUGCAUAGAAGGGAGAGAGUGCGUGGAUGACCAAAGGGACUUUUUAGGGGCCAGGCCUCUGAGUGGCACCUCCUGUCCCCAUGCUACUGGCUACAGCCUGACAUGUGUCCACCCCAGCCACAGGGGAACCAGGCAGCGUGGGAUGUAGCUAAAGCCGUGUGGUGGAGGCAGCGAGGUCUCCUGCACCCGCGGGGCCCUCAUCCUAUCCAGACUUUACCUUUUACGAAUCUUUACUCCUGGCUUCCUGCAUUGGGGCACCUGCUGUACCAGCCUGUGAGCACCCAGGAGGAGGGAAGGUUUCUUCCACCUUGGCAUCAUCUGCAGGAGGUGGCACUCACUUCUCCUUGAAGGUUGGACUUAGAAUUCACUUCUAUGAACAAAGUAUAGAGACAAGGACAGAAGAAAAAGGGGAAAAGAGUACCUUUACAGUGGAGAAAUCUUGCAGAUACUACAUUAUCAAGUGAUCAAAGUUAACAUCACCAGUACUAAGGCACGGUGACAUCAUGUUCCACAUGAGAUGUGACAAGGACACCUCAGUUCUGUGGGAUUCCCAGUCAAAUCAUGAGAAAACAUCAGCAAACCCAAGUUAAGGGACAUUUUACAAAUACCUGGUCAGCCCUCUUCAAAAAUGUCAAGGUCAUGAAAAACCAGAAGAGAAUGAGCAGCCAUCGCAGAUGGGAGGAGACCAAGGAGACAGGAUGAGUCGGUCCAGCAUGGGGCCUGGAUGGGAUGCUGACGCAUGAAAGGACAUUUAUGGAACAGCCACGGGAAUACAAAUAAAGUCUGUAGUUCAGUUACUAGUUUUGUACCAAUGUUAAUUACGUAGUUUUGAUUAGUCUCAUGGUUACAUAAGAUGUAAACAUGAUGGGAAGCUGGGUGAAAAGUACAUGGGAACUUUCUGGAUCAUCACUGCAAUUCUACAAAUCUAAAAUGACUUUAAAAUAAAUUGUUUUUUUACAUAUCAAAGGAAAAAACACCUCCAUUUUGUGCAAAGAAUAAAUGCAAAGUCCUUUUCAAUUGCCUACAAA